UAUUUUGUUCUCAGUUCUUUCUUGAACUCAGAUCUCAUCAAUGAUGCCUUGAUCAGUUUGAUUGCAUUAUAGUAUAUGUUUGCAGUGUGUGAGAGGUAUGUAUUAGAUAUCCUAUGUACAAAUCAAAUAUUAAGAUUGCAUUAUACAUCUUUGUACUGUGACUAUGUAUCAUUGGUGGCACUAAUUUGUGUUGUUGCAUUUUAUUUCAUGGGUAAUUGGAUCUGUCGACGGGAGGGAGAGGGCGGGGGGUCACCAUGAGAUAGGGGAAGUCAUUGCAAAAGGGAGAAUGGGAUGGAUUGAUUGGUCCCAUGGUUUAAGGCGAGAAGAGUCGAUCGAAUGGAGAGGCCAGGCCCGUUGAGGCAACGCAGGCUGACUCCAUGGCUGCUUAGGUCGUAAGAUUGUACAUAAGAGAUGUGGACUGAGUGUGUGUACCCAAUGCACAAUGUGGAAUUCUCGGUGAUCGGCACCACUGCAUACAAGCUUAGCUUUAUGGAAGAGAUGCGUGAGAAGUUCAGACGCUUGAAGCA
Long non-coding RNA from Hordeum vulgare subsp. vulgare (domesticated barley), 527 nucleotides. RefSeq lists it as uncharacterized. The transcript is spliced from 3 exons. The record is from RefSeq and is a predicted model, not a curated record. NCBI's taxonomy places the organism in Eukaryota, Viridiplantae, Streptophyta, Magnoliopsida, Poales, Poaceae.